GUCCACGCCGUAAACGAUGGAUACUAGCUGUUGGGGGUAACUUCAGUGGCUAAGCGAAAGUGAUAAGUAUCCCACCUGGGGAGUACGUUCGCAAGAAUGAAACUCAAAGGAAUUGACGGGGCCCGCACAAGCGGUGGAGCAUGUGGUUUAAUUCGAUGAUACGCGAGGAACCUUACCAAGGCUUAAAUGUAGUUUGACCGAUUUGGAAACAGAUCUUUCGCAAGACAAAUUACAAGGUGCUGCAUGGUUGUCGU
RNAcentral lists this ribosomal RNA (254 nucleotides) under uncultured bacterium. Its description in RNAcentral is "partial 16S ribosomal RNA". It matches the Rfam family "Bacterial small subunit ribosomal RNA", at positions 793 to 1055 of the family's 1533-position model. The record is from RNAcentral.